Molecule: ribosomal RNA, 2811 nt
Filed under: Begonia fuchsioides
Lineage: Eukaryota; Viridiplantae; Streptophyta; Magnoliopsida; Cucurbitales; Begoniaceae
Description: eukaryotic LSU rRNA
Rfam family: Eukaryotic large subunit ribosomal RNA (bases 444-2811)
Source: RNAcentral
CUUCAUUCUCUAAGUCUCUAAGUGCUGAAGGGAAAUGUGGCGCUCGGCCACUUAUUGAAGAUGGCCGAGACCCUAAUGGACCUCGGCGUGGGCCGUGUCACGUGGCCCGGUAGAUCCGUCGAUGGUGCGCGCCGUGGUCUCGUGUCCGGCGUCAUGGGCCAUCUUGUCCGGCCCGGUGUGAGCGGUCAAGGUGAACGCCAUGGUCGUCGUCCCAGCGUGUGCGGUGUCCUACCCAGCGUGUGCGGUCAAGCUCGUAUGUCCCGCGGCAUGGGCCGCCAUGUCCGGCCCAGUGUAUGCGGUCAAGGUCGAGGCGUGUGCGGUCAAGGUCGCUAGCCCCGCGUCAUGGGCCGCCAUGUCCGGCCAGGCGUGGUCGGUCACGUUCGUGUCCAGCCAUGUGAUGGACGUCUUGGGCCUUUCUUGGUCGUUCUCCGUGGGUGACUCCGAGGUUAUGUUUCCUACAAAAUAAUCAACUAAGUUAGCAUAAAACACUCAGCCCAAUGGGGAGGAGUCCCAUUGUACAUCAGGCACAUCAAGCAGGGCGAAGCCAGAGGAAACUCUGGUGGAGGUUCGCAGCGAUACUGAUGUGCAAAUCGUUCGUCUUACUUGGGUAUAGGGGCGAAAGACUAAUCAAACUGUCUAGUAGCUGCUUCCCUCUGAAGUUUCCCUUAGGAUAGCUGGAGCCCAUGGGCAAGUUCUCUCGGGUAAAGCCAAUGAUUAGAGGCAUCGGGGGCACAACGCCCUCGACCUAUUCUCAAACUUUAAAUAGGUAGGACGGCACAACUGCUUUGUUGAGCCGUGCCACGGAAUCGAGAGCUCCAAGUGGGCCAUUUUUGGUAAGCAGAACUAGCGAUGCGGGACAAACCAAAAGACGGGUUACGGUGCCCAACAACACACUAACCUAGUACCCACAAAGGGUGUUGGUCGAUUAAGACAGCAUAACGGUGGUCAUGGAAGUCGAAAUCCACUAAGGAGUGUGUAACAAAUCCCCUGCCGAAUCAACUAGCCCCUACAAUGGAUGGCGCUGAAGCGCGCAACCUAUACACGGCCAUCGGGGCAAGUAUCAGGCUCUGAUGAGUAGGAGGGAGCGGCGGUUGCCGCAAAACCUGGGGCGAGAGCCCGGGCGGAGCGGCCGUUGGUGCAAAUCUUGGUGGUAGUAGCAAAUAUUCAAAUGAGAACUUUGAAGGCCGAAGAGGGGAAAUGUUCUAUGUAAACAGCACUUGCACAUGGGUUAGUCGAUCCUAAAAGACAGGGCAAUCUCGUCUGACAGCGCCCAGCACGAGAGCAUCGAAAGGGAAUCAGGUUAAAAUUCCUGAACCAGGACGUGGCGGCUGAUGGCAACGUUAGGGAGUCCGGAGACAUCGUCGGGGACCUCGAGAAGAGUUAUCUUUUCUGUUUAGCAGCCUGCCCAUCGUGGAAACGACUGAGCCGGAGGUAGGGUCCUGCGGCUGGAAGAGCACCACACGUCGUGCGGUGUUCGGUACAUCCUCGACGGCCCUUGAAAAUUUGGAGGACCGAGUGCCUCCCACGCCUGGUCGUACUCAUAACCGCAUCAGGUCUCCAAGGUGAACAACCUUUGGUCGGAUGAACAAUGUAGGCAAGGGAAGUUGACAAAAUGGAUCCGUAACCUCGGGAAAAGGAUUGGCUCUGAGGGCUGGGCAUGGCGGUCCAUGUCUCAAAUUCGUCGGUUGUCGAUGGACUACUCGAGCUGCUCUCUCGGUGAGAGCUGGUCGUCGCAUGUCGGCCGGGGGACAGACUGGGAACGGCUCCUUCAGGGGGCUUCCCCGAGCAUCAAAAAAUUGACUCAGAACUGGUACAGACAAGGGGAAUCCGACUGUUUAAUUAAAAAAAAGCAUUGCGAUGGUCCUUGCGGAUGCUGACGCAAUGUGAUUUCUGCCCAGUGCAAUGAAUGUCAAAGUGAAGAAAUUCAACCAAGCGCGUGUAAACGGCGGGAGUAACUAUGACUCUCUUAAGGUAGCCAAAUGCCUCGUCAUCUAGUUAGUGACACGCAUGAAUGGAUUAACGAGAUUCCCACUAACCCUGUCUACUAUCCAUCGAAACAACAGACAAGGGAACGGGCUUGGCAGAAUCAGCGGGGAAAGAGGACCUUGUUGAGCUUGACUGUAGUCCGACUCUAUGAAAUGACUUGAGAGGUGUAGGAUAUGUGGGAGCCAGAAAUGGCAAAAUUGAAAUAACACUACUUUUAACGUUAUUUUACUUAUUCCAUGAAUCGGAAGCGGGGCAACGCCCCUCUUUUUGGACCCAAGGCCCACCUCAACGGGUCGAUCCGUGCAGAAGAUAUUCUCAGGUCAGGAGUUUGGCUGGGGCAGCACAUCUGUUAAAAGAUAGAGGUGUCAGAAAAGUUACCACAGGGAUUACUGGCUUGUGGCAGCCAAGCGUUCAUAGUGAAGUUGCUUUUUGAUCCUUCGAUGUCGGCUCUUCCUAUCAUUGUGAAGCAGAAUUCACCAAGUGUUGGAUUGUUCACCCACCAAUAGGGAACUUGAGCUGGGUUUAGACAGUCGUGAGAUGGGUUAGUUUUACCCUACUGACGACAGUGUCGCAAUAGUAAUUCAACCUAGUAUGAGAGGAACCAUUGAUUCGCACAAUUGGUCAUCGCGCUUGGUUAAAAAGCCAGUGGUGCAAAGCUACCGUGCACUGGAUUAUGACUGAACGCCUCUAAGUCAGAAUCUUGGCUAGAAGCAACGCACGCACCUGCCGCCUAAUCGCCGACCAGCAGUAGGGCACAAGUCGUUGGCCAAGCCCUCGCAACCGAGCCGUUGAGCAGGCCACCUUGAAGUGUUAUUUCAACCGAGC